This is a non-coding RNA of Brachypodium distachyon (stiff brome), 136 nucleotides long. The record is from Rfam. NCBI's taxonomy places the organism in Eukaryota, Viridiplantae, Streptophyta, Magnoliopsida, Poales, Poaceae.
CAAAUAGUCCCUCCGUCCAACAAAGGAUGUCUCAACUUUGACUAAACUUGAAUACAUCUAUACACUAAGUCAUGUUUAGAUACAUCCAAAUUUUGACAAACUUGAGACAUCUUUUGUUGGACGGAGGGAGUACAUA